Molecule: ribosomal RNA, 358 nt
Filed under: Cotesia schizurae
Lineage: Eukaryota; Metazoa; Arthropoda; Insecta; Hymenoptera; Braconidae
Description: partial 16S ribosomal RNA
Source: RNAcentral
CUGCUCAAUGAAUAAAUUUUAAAUAGCCGCAGUAUAAAUAACUGUACAAAGGUAGCAUAAUAAUUUGUUUUUUAAUUAAAAACUAGAAUGAAUGAUUAAAUGAAAUAUAAACUGUAUCAAAUUUAAAAAAUAAAUUUAUUAUUUAAAUAAAAAAAUUUAAAUAAAUUUUAAAGACGAGAAGACCCUAUAGAAUUUUAAUAAUAAUUUAAUUUAAUUAAAAUAAAUUAUUAUAUUAAUUGGGGAAAUUUUAAAAUUUUAAAAAUUUUUAAUUAAAAAAACAUAAAUUUUUGAAUAUUUAUUAUUUAUUAAAAAAAUAAAUUAAUUACCUUAGGGAUAACAGCAUAAUUUUUUUAAAAAG